RNAcentral lists this ribosomal RNA (779 nucleotides) under uncultured bacterium. Its description in RNAcentral is "bacterial SSU rRNA". It matches the Rfam family "Bacterial small subunit ribosomal RNA", at positions 8 to 775 of the family's 1533-position model. The record is from RNAcentral.
AGAGUUUGAUCCUGGCUCAGAUUGAACGCUGGCGGCAUGCCUAACACAUGCAAGUCGAACGGCAGCACAGUCGUAGCAAUACGAUGGGUGGCGAGUGGCGGACGGGUGAGGAAUGCAUCGGAAUCUGCCCGGUCGUGGGGGAUAACGUACCGAAAGGUGCGCUAAUACCGCAUGAGACCGAGAGGUGAAAGCGGGGGACCGCAAGGCCUCGCGCGAUCGGAUGAGCCGAUGCCGGAUUAGCUAGUUGGCGGGGUAAGAGCCCACCAAGGCGACGAUCCGUAGCUGGUCUGAGAGGAUGAUCAGCCACACUGGGACUGAGACACGGCCCAGACUCCUACGGGAGGCAGCAGUGGGGAGUAUUGGACAAUGGGCGCAAGCCUGAUCCAGCAAUGCCGCGUGUGUGAAGAAGGCCUUCGGGUUGUAAAGCACUUUUAUCGGGAACGAAAAGCGGACGGUGAACAGCCGUUCGUGCUGACGGUACCCGAGGAAUAAGCACCGGCUAACUUCGUGCCAGCAGCCGCGGUAAUACGAAGGGUGCAAGCGUUAAUCGGAAUUACUAGGCGUAAAGCGUGCGUAGGCGGUUCGCUGAGUCUGCCGUGAAAGCCCUGGGCUCAACCUGGGAAUGGCGGUGGAUACUGGCGAGCUGGAGUGCGGUAGAGGAGGGCGGAAUUCCCGGUGUAGCGGUGAAAUGCGUAGAGAUCGGGAGGAACAUCAGUGGCGAAGGCGGCCCUCUGGACCAGCACUGACGCUGAGGCACGAAAGCGUGGGGGAGCAAACAG